CCUCUGUACAUCACCUUGACGAUAAAAAAAAUUAAAAAUAAAUAAAUAAAAUGAGGGGGAACAACUGAGGGAAAGUGGAGGAAGAGGUGACAUCGUCCAAAAAGAAUUGUAUUCAUUACCUGACCUAUGAAACUGUAACCCCUCUGUAUAACACCUUAAUAAUAACAAUAAAAUUAUACUUUAAAAAAAGAGAGCAGAUGACUAUCUCUACAAUGAAUCUGUCUAAGUAAAAAUCCAGAGAACUUUCAAAUGGCAGAGGAGUAAGAAUAUGCAGAUAGAACUUUCCUGUUGUGUAAACAUACUGAAGUAGCUAGAAACUUGCUAUAGAGAGGAACAUUGAGAAUCCUCAAAACCCCUUCCAGAGCCCCAACCACCACUCUAAAUAACAGAUUAACAACAGUAAAAGGAAUGUGAAGCCCAUGGUACAAUAAAAGUAAUGAUAGGGCUGGGAAUGUGGCCUAGAGGUAGAGUGCUUAGCAUGCAGGAA
This is a long non-coding RNA of Perognathus longimembris pacificus (Pacific pocket mouse), 487 nucleotides long. RefSeq lists it as uncharacterized. The transcript has 4 exons. The record is from RefSeq and is a predicted model, not a curated record. Lineage: Eukaryota; Metazoa; Chordata; Mammalia; Rodentia; Heteromyidae.